AAAUGAUAUGGAUCGGAUAAAGCUCGAUUAAGGCGUUGAACUUUCUAGAAUUCAACCCCCAUGGCAAUGAUUUUGUUUUUCUAUUAUCAUUUUCCUUUGUAUUCUUUUUGAAUUAGGGCAUGGAUAGCUUUGAAAUGUAAUUUUCUCUUAUUCUGCCUCAAAGGAUAUUAAUUUAUUUGAAUGCUGUACACUUGAAUGUUGUGGCUGAAAAGAUAAUUUUCACAGUAUUAAAGAAAAUGUCGUCCAGAGAUGUAUUUAUUACUGGUGGUGGGAGUGCCAAGCGAGACAAUGAAAUAGUAACUAGCAAACUAUGAUUAGUUUAGCCAUUUUUGUGCUAUUAUUAUUGGUUUUUUGAAGCCACAGCUCUUGGUAUAUAAUUGUUGUGGUGAAAUAAUGAUUGUGAUGUUUUGCUACAUGACUAGAUUUGAACAAUGGAGUGGAUAAUGUUCUUAUAAGCUUGAGAUUAUGUUAUCUAUCAGCCUCAAGAGCAACCUUGAAUGUCGGUCUCAGCCAGAGGUUGAUAUCAUUCUCGUUGAUCCCAUGCUAAACUGGAAAUCUGAUACUGAGUUGUGAAAGUAAAGGUCCUCCUGGCCAUAAUCUUGGGA
RNAcentral lists this unclassified non-coding RNA (605 nucleotides) under Hevea brasiliensis (rubber tree). Lineage: Eukaryota; Viridiplantae; Streptophyta; Magnoliopsida; Malpighiales; Euphorbiaceae. The record is from RNAcentral.